Molecule: ribosomal RNA, 465 nt
Filed under: uncultured bacterium
Lineage: Bacteria
Description: partial 16S ribosomal RNA
Rfam family: Bacterial small subunit ribosomal RNA
Source: RNAcentral
GAUGAACGCUGGCGGCGUGCUUAACACAUGCGAGUCGAACGACGAAGCCCAGCUUGCUGGGUGGAUUAGUGGCGAACGGGUGAGUAACACGUGAGUAACCUGCCCUUAACUCUGGGAUAAGCCUGGGAAACUGGGUCUAAUACCGGAUAGGAGCGCCUACCGCAUGGUGGGUGUUGGAAAGAUUUAUCGGUUUUGGAUGGACUCGCGGCCUAUCAGCUUGUUGGUGAGGUAAUGGCUCACCAAGGCGACGACGGGUAGCCGGCCUGAGAGGGUGACCGGCCACACUGGGACUGAGACACGGCCCAGACUCCUACGGGAGGCAGCAGUGGGGAAUAUUGCACAAUGGGCGAAAGCCUGAUGCAGCGACGCCGCGUGAGGGAUGACGGCCUUCGGGUUGUAAACCUCUUUCAGUAGGGAAGAAGCGAAAGUGACGGUACCUGCAGAAGAAGCACCGGCUAACUACGU